AGAGUUUGAUCCUGGCUCAGGAUGAACGCUUGCGGCGUGCCUAAUGCAUGCAAGUCGAACGGGAUCCCAUAGAUUCGUCUAAGGGUGAGAGUGGCGAACGGGUGAGUAACACGUUGGUGACCUGCCCCAGAGAGGGGGACAACCAGUGGAAACGCUGGCUAAUACCCCGGAUGUCAAGGUUUUUAGAAACCCUUGACUGAAGCUCCGGCGCUCUGGGAGGGGCCUGCGGUCCAUCAGCUUGUUGGUAGGGUAACGGCCUACCAAGGCGAAGACGGAUAGGGGGCGUGAGAGCGUGACCCCCCACACUGGUACUGACACACGGACCAGAUACCUGCGGGUAGCAGCAGCAAGGAAUAUUGCCCAAUGGACGAAAGUCUGAGGCAGCAACGCCGCGUGAAGGAAGAAGGCUUUCGGGUUGUAAACUUCUUUUUUGGGGGAAGAGAAAGGACGGUACCCCAAGAAUAAGAUCCGGCUAACUACGUGCCAGCAGCCGCGGUAAAACGUAGGGAUCGAGCGUUAUCCGGAUUUACUGGGCGUAAAGCGCGUGCAGGCGGUUUUCUAAGUCGGACGUGAAAGCUCCUGGCCCAACUGGGAGAGGCCGUUCGAAACUGGAAGACUUGAGGAUGGUAGGGGUAAGUGGAAUUCCCGGUGUAGUGGUGAAAUGCGUAGAUAUCGGGAGGAGCACCAGUGGCGAAGGCGGCUUACUGGGCCAUUCCUGACGCUGAGACGCGAAAGCUAGGGGAGAGAACGGGAUUAGAAACCCCGGUAUUCCUAGCCGUAAACGAUGUCAACUAGGUGUAGGGGGUAUCCAACCCCCCUGUGCUGUAGCUAACGCGUUAAGUUGACCGCCUGGGGACUACGGCCGCAAGGCUAAAACUCAAAGGAAUUGACGGGGACCCGCACAAGCAGCGGAGCGUGUGGUUUAAUUCGAGAUACGCGAAGAACCUUACCAGGGUUUGACAUGUACGUGGUAGGAAGGUGAAAGCCGACUGACCCUUCGGGGAGCGUACACAGGUGCUGCAUGGCUGUCGUCAGCUCGUGCCGUGAGGUGUUAGGUUAAGUCCUGUAACGAGCGCAACCCUCGUCGUUAGUUAUACGUGUCUAACGAGACUGCCGGUGAUAAGCCGGAGGAAGGUGGGGAUGACGUCAAGUCAGCAUGGCCUUUAUAUCCUGGGCUACACACACGCUACAAUGGCCGGUACAAUGGGUAGCCAAGCCGCGAGGCGGAGCCAAUCCUUCAAAGCCGGUCUCAGUUCGGAUUGUAGGCUGCAACUCGCCUGCAUGAAGUCGGAGUUGCUAGUAAACGCGCGUCAGCAACAGUGCGUUGAAUACGUUCCCGGGUCUUGUACACACCGCCCGUCACGUCAUGGAAGUUGGCGACGCCUGAAGUCAGUGAGCUAACCCUAACGGGAGGCAGCUGCCCAAGGCGGGGUCGGUAACUGGGACGAAGUCGUAACAAGGUA
Molecule: ribosomal RNA, 1463 nt
Filed under: metagenome
Description: bacterial SSU rRNA
Rfam family: Bacterial small subunit ribosomal RNA
Source: RNAcentral